This 930-nucleotide ribosomal RNA is filed under the name Amanita submelleialba. Its description in RNAcentral is "partial large subunit ribosomal RNA". It matches the Rfam family "Eukaryotic large subunit ribosomal RNA", at positions 40 to 951 of the family's 3401-position model. Lineage: Eukaryota; Fungi; Basidiomycota; Agaricomycetes; Agaricales; Amanitaceae. The record is from RNAcentral.
ACACACACAACGGAGGAAAGAACCUACCAAGGAUUCCCCUAGUAACUGCGAGUGAAGAGGGAAGAGCUCAAAUUUGAAAUCUGACAGUGUUUAGCUGUCCGAGUUGUAAUCUAGAGAAGUGCUACCCGUGCUGGACCAUGUACAAGUCUCCUGGAAUGGAGCGUCGUAGAGGGUGAGAAUCCCGUCUUUGACAUGGACUACCAGUGCACUGUGGUGUGCUCUCAAAGAGUCGAGUUGUUUGGGAAUGCAGCUCUAAAUGGGUGGUAAACUCCAUCUAAGGCUAAAUAUUGGCGAGAGACCGAUAGCGAACAAGUACCGUGAGGGAAAGAUGAAAAGAACUUUGGAAAGAGAGUUAAACAGUAUGUGAAAUUGUUGAAAGGGAAACGCUUAAAGUCAGUUGUAUCGGCCAGGGAUCAACCCAGUUCAUCUUUGCUGGGUGUACUUCCUGAUCUGAUGGGCCAACAUCAGUUUUGAUUGCUGGAAAAGGAUAGAGGGAAUGUGGCACCUUUUGGGGUGUGUUAUAGCUCUCUGUCAAAUACAGUGGUUAGGACUGAGGAAAGCAGCAUGCCACAAGGCCGGGUUUCGACCACGUUCAUGCUGAGGAUGUUGGCAUAAUGGCUUUAAUCGACCCGUCUUGAAACACGGACCAAGGAGUCUAACAUGCCUGCGAGUAUUUGGGUGGCAAACCCAAGUGCGUAAUGAAAGUGAAAGGUUGAGAUCCCUGUCAUGGGGAGCAUCGAUGCCCGGACCUGAGCUUUUAGCAAAGGAUCUGCGGUAGAGCAUGCAUGUUAGGACCCGAAAGAUGGUGAACUAUGCCUGAAUAGGGUGAAGCCAGAGGAAACUCUGGUGGAGGCUCGUAGCGAUUCUGACGUGCAAAUCGAUCGUCAAAUUUGGGUAUAGGGGCGAAAGACUAAUCGAACCAUCAUUGGC